Molecule: ribosomal RNA, 253 nt
Filed under: uncultured bacterium
Lineage: Bacteria
Description: partial 16S ribosomal RNA
Rfam family: Bacterial small subunit ribosomal RNA
Source: RNAcentral
UACAGAGGGGGCAAGCGUUGUUCGGAAUUACUGGGCGUAAAGGGCGCGUAGGCGGCCUUCUAAGUCGAACGUGAAAUCCCCGGGCUCAACCCGGGAACUGCGUCCGAUACUGGAAGGCUUGAAUCCAGGAGAGGGAUGUGGAAUUCCAGGUGUAGCGGUGAAAUGCGUAGAUAUCUGGAGGAACACCGGUGGCGAAGGCGACAUCCUGGACCGGUAUUGACGCUGAGGCGCGAAAGCCAGGGGAGCAAACGGG